Molecule: ribosomal RNA, 251 nt
Filed under: uncultured bacterium
Lineage: Bacteria
Description: partial 16S ribosomal RNA
Rfam family: Bacterial small subunit ribosomal RNA
Source: RNAcentral
GCAAGUCGAGGGGUAACAUGAGUGCUUGCACUCGCUGACGACCGGCGCCCGGGUGAGUAACGCGUAUAGAACCUACCUUUUACAGAGGAAUAGCCUUUAGAAAUGAAGAUUAAUGCCACAUAGUAUUGCGACUCGGCAUCGAGAUGUAAUUAAAGAUUUAUCGGUAAAAGAUGGCUAUGCGUCCUAUUAGUUAGUUGGUAAGGUAACGGCUUACCAAGACAUCGAUAGGUAGGGGUCCUGAGAGGGAGAUC